RNAcentral lists this transfer RNA (26 nucleotides) under Anolis cybotes (large-headed anole). RNAcentral describes it as "partial tRNA-Asx". The record is from RNAcentral. RNAcentral also lists the same sequence under 1 other name. Lineage: Eukaryota; Metazoa; Chordata; Lepidosauria; Squamata; Anolidae.
CUGAAUAGGCGGGCCUCGAUCCCACG